AGCGAACGCUGGCGGCAGGCCUAACACAUGCAAGUCGAACGGAUCCUUCGGGAUUAGUGGCGGACGGGUGAGUAACACGUGGGAACGUGCCUUUUGGUUCGGAACAACGCAGAGAAAUUUGCGCUAAUACCGAAUGUGCCCUUCGGGGAAAGGAUUUAUCGCCAUUAGAGCGGCCCGCGUCUGAUUAGCUAGUUGGUGAGGUAAAGGCUCACCAAGGCUACGAUCAGUAGCUGGUCUGAGAGGAUGAUCAGCCACAUUGGGACUGAGACACGGCCCAAACUCCUACGGGAGGCAGCAGUGGGGAAUCUUGCGCAAUGGGCGAAAGCCUGACGCAGCCAUGCCGCGUGAAUGAUGAAGGUCUUAGGAUUGUAAAAUUCUUUUCACCGGGGACGAUAAUGACGGUACCCGGAGAAGAAGCCCCGGCUAACUUCGUG
This 434-nucleotide ribosomal RNA is filed under the name uncultured bacterium. RNAcentral describes it as "bacterial SSU rRNA". It matches the Rfam family "Bacterial small subunit ribosomal RNA", at positions 29 to 507 of the family's 1533-position model. The record is from RNAcentral.